RNAcentral lists this ribosomal RNA (1001 nucleotides) under Vreelandella stevensii. RNAcentral's name for it is "bacterial SSU rRNA". It matches the Rfam family "Bacterial small subunit ribosomal RNA", at positions 51 to 1044 of the family's 1533-position model. Lineage: Bacteria; Pseudomonadati; Pseudomonadota; Gammaproteobacteria; Oceanospirillales; Halomonadaceae. The record is from RNAcentral.
ACACAAUUGGCAAGGUCGAGCGGUAACAGAGCUGUGCUUGCUCCCCGCUGACGAGCGGCGGACGGGUGAGUAAUGCAUAGGAAUCUGCCCGAUAGUGGGGGAUAACCUGGGGAAACCCAGGCUAAUACCGCAUACGUCCUACGGGAGAAAGGGGGCUCCGGCUCCCGCUAUCGGAUGAGCCUAUGUCGGAUUAGCUGGUUGGUGAGGUAAAGGCUCACCAAGGCGACGAUCCGUAGCUGGUCUGAGAGGAUGAUCAGCCACAUCGGGACUGAGACACGGCCCGAACUCCUACGGGAGGCAGCAGUGGGGAAUAUUGGACAAUGGGGGCAACCCUGAUCCAGCCAUGCCGCGUGUGUGAAGAAGGCCCUCGGGUUGUAAAGCACUUUCAGUGAGGAAGAACGCCUGGUGGUUAAUACCCAUCAGGAAAGACAUCACUCACAGAAGAAGCACCGGCUAACUCCGUGCCAGCAGCCGCGGUAAUACGGAGGGUGCGAGCGUUAAUCGGAAUUACUGGGCGUAAAGCGCGCGUAGGUGGCUUGAUAAGCCGGUUGUGAAAGCCCCGGGCUCAACCUGGGAACGGCAUCCGGAACUGUCAAGCUAGAGUGCAGGAGAGGAAGGUAGAAUUCCCGGUGUAGCGGUGAAAUGCGUAGAGAUCGGGAGGAAUACCAGUGGCGAAGGCGGCCUUCUGGACUGACACUGACACUGAGGUGCGAAAGCGUGGGUAGCAAACAGGAUUAGAUACCCUGGUAGUCCACGCCGUAAACGAUGUCGACCAGCCGUUGGGUGCCUAGCGCACUUUGUGGCGAAGUUAACGCGAUAAGUCGACCGCCUGGGGAGUACGGCCGCAAGGUUAAAACUCAAAUGAAUUGACGGGGGCCCGCACAAGCGGUGGAGCAUGUGGUUUAAUUCGAUGCAACGCGAAGAACCUUACCUACUCUUGACAUCCUGCGAACUUGUGAGAGAUCACUUGGUGCCUUCGGGAACGCAGAGACAGGUGCUGC